GCUCAAACCACUUAUUUGCAAUAGGUAUACUGUUCCAAGUGUUCCACCUCCCCCGUUGGUUGUUUCUGGACAGGAGUAUGAAGUCUCUUCUAUAGUCGAUUCCAGAUUUUCUCGUGGUUCAUUACAGUAUUUGGUUGAUUGGAAGGGGUAUGGGCCGGCCGAAUGUUCUUGGGUUUCCGGCUUCUGAUAUUCAUGCUGGUCGCAAGAUUUGUUCUCCCUCAAGUCUGGUCCUGCCAAGUUCUCCCUCAAGUCUGGUGGGCGGUCUUCAGGUGGGGGGUAAUGUCACAUGUUCCUCCUUACCUGGUGGUGCCUGUAAUGGCAAAUGCUUUUCUGGCAUUAACAGAGGUGCUACUCAGCAGCCCUGUGCCGAUGUAUCUGAAUCCUGUUAAAAGACGCCGGCUGCUGCGGAUCCAUUCUCAUUUGCAAUCCCACGUCCGCCCACGUUAAUGACGUGAAAGGAUGCGCACGCAUGUUCUGGGGUCAAAGGUCGGUUAUGGCGAAGCGGAUCCACAGGAGGGUUAUCUAACAUACCUAUUCCUUUAGCUCAUUGCCCUGUCGUGGUUUCCUUAGUGGUUGUCCGAGAGUGUGUUCCUGAGCGUUUAUUUUCUGGUUUUGACUUUGGCUUCGUUUUGACUUUCCUGUAUUCUGGUAUCAUUGACUUUUGGCUUUACCUCAUCAUUGUGUCUCAUUCUGUGUCCCCAACCUCGGCAAGUAUUCUGACUAUUCUUUGGUACGUUAAGUCCGGCCAUUCUAAGGCCCGGUAAGAC
This is a non-coding RNA of Pelobates cultripes (western spadefoot toad), 767 nucleotides long. NCBI's taxonomy places the organism in Eukaryota, Metazoa, Chordata, Amphibia, Anura, Pelobatidae. The record is from the annotation of a GenBank genome assembly.